AGAAUCAACGCUGGCGGCGUGCCUAACACAUGCAAGUCGAACGAGAAAGUGGAGCAAUCCACGAGUAAAGUGGCGCACGGGUGAGUAACGCGUGACUAACCUACCCUUGAGUGGGGGAUAACCUAGAGAAAUCUGGGCUAAUACCGCAUAAUACCUUCGGGUCAAAGGAGCAAUUCGCUUAAGGAGGGGGUCGCGGCCGAUUAGUUAGUUGGCGGGGUAAUGGCCCACCAAGACUAUGAUCGGUA
This 245-nucleotide ribosomal RNA is filed under the name uncultured bacterium. RNAcentral's name for it is "partial small subunit ribosomal RNA". It matches the Rfam family "Bacterial small subunit ribosomal RNA", at positions 26 to 285 of the family's 1533-position model. The record is from RNAcentral.